ACGCCAGGCCAGAAGGACCAGGGGCUGGAAACUCGCCUUCAGGGCUCCUAAGCUGCUGCGGAGCUAGACGGCGGGCUGUGGGUGGGGAGGAGACUAGAAUAUUCUGAGACGUGGUAGGGUGGGAGUUAGGAGAGGUAACCUGGAGUUGUUGCCCAAGAUGCAGCUCAGCUCCAGUGGCCACACCAAGAAGGCUUGAGACCGGGGGCAGAACCAGGGGGAUUUUGUGGUGGCUGGGGGCCUGCAUUUGAGUUCCUUGACCAGCAGGAGGGCUUGGAUUUAGGGAGGCUCUAAUCGCCUGCACGAAGAACCCCGCGCUGUCUGGCCCACCCUUCACAGUAUCCGACCGGGGCGUCCUGAACCGCCGCCAGCUCUAUCUGACCACCUCGGCGCGGGACUUUCGGUUCUAUCCCAAGACGGAGCCGUCCGGAUACCCCCGCAAGGACUACCUGACCUACUGGAGCUUAGAAGAGACGCCCCAACUCUGGAGUCACGACCCGCAGCGGCAGCCCUGUCUCUGCUCUUCCAGGCCGCCUCGAGCGCCGCACGGCGGGCCAUGUCUCCGGCUCAGGAAACCUACAGCUCCUCGCCGCACCCGCUCCGCCGGCUCGACCGCUUCCGCCCGCUGGAGGCGACUUGGGGUGGCCCCCACUGGAAGCCCCUGCCGGGCAUACACAGCGUCCCGAAAGCCUACAGCACCGAGAACUCCCGCUCAGGCCGCUGUAAGCCGGGGCUAGUGGGAGCCUGCCGGGCCAGCCCCACCCCAGACACGCCCCCUGGCGUGGGGGCGGAGCAGAGCUCUGGGCAGCCGCUCACUACGCGGUGUCGGACCUAGGUGGGCUCGCACUCAUUAAGUCUAUCCGCAGUGUGGGGACAGGACUAGCCCAGACACGCCCACUCAGCUGCGGCUGGAUCGCGGGGAA
Molecule: long non-coding RNA, 920 nt
Filed under: Homo sapiens (human)
Lineage: Eukaryota; Metazoa; Chordata; Mammalia; Primates; Hominidae
Description: non-protein coding lnc-NTF4-3:1
Source: RNAcentral